RNAcentral lists this ribosomal RNA (275 nucleotides) under uncultured bacterium. RNAcentral describes it as "partial 16S ribosomal RNA". It matches the Rfam family "Bacterial small subunit ribosomal RNA", at positions 338 to 627 of the family's 1533-position model. The record is from RNAcentral.
CCUACGGGUGGCUGCAGUGGGGAAUUUUCCGCAAUGGGGGCAACCCUGACGGAGCAAGACCGCGUGGGGGAAGAAGGUUUGUGGAUUGUAAACCCCUUUUGAUUGGGAAGAAGACAAUGACGGUACCAAUCGAAUCAGCAUCGGCUAACUCCGUGCCAGCAGCCGCGGUAAUACGGAGGAUGCAAGCGUUAUCCGGAAUUAUUGGGCGUAAAGCGUCCGUAGGUGGUGGAGCAAGUCAGCUGUCAAAGCAUGGAGCUUAACUCCAUAAGGGCAGU